Molecule: ribosomal RNA, 1017 nt
Filed under: uncultured bacterium
Lineage: Bacteria
Description: bacterial SSU rRNA
Rfam family: Bacterial small subunit ribosomal RNA
Source: RNAcentral
UGAGGAAUAUUGGUCAAUGGGCGAGAGCCUGAACCAGCCAAGUAGCGUGAAGGAUGACUGCCCUAUGGGUUGUAAACUUCUUUUAUAAAGGAAUAAAGUCGGGUAUGGAUACCCGUUUGCAUGUACUUUAUGAAUAAGGAUCGGCUAACUCCGUGCCAGCAGCCGCGGUAAUACGGAGGAUCCGAGCGUUAUCCGGAUUUAUUGGGUUUAAAGGGAGCGUAGAUGGAUGUUUAAGUCAGUUGUGAAAGUUUGCGGCUCAACCGUAAAAUUGCAGUUGAUACUGGAUAUCUUGAGUGCAGUUGAGGCAGGCGGAAUUCGUGGUGUAGCGGUGAAAUGCUUAGAUAUCACGAAGAACUCCGAUUGCGAAGGCAGCCUGCUAAGCUGCAACUGACAUUGAGGCUCGAAAGUGUGGGUAUCAAACAGGAUUAGAUACCCUGGUAGUCCACACGGUAAACGAUGAAUACUCGCUGUUUGCGAUAUACAGCAAGCGGCCAAGCGAAAGCGUUAAGUAUUCCACCUGGGGAGUACGCCGGCAACGGUGAAACUCAAAGGAAUUGACGGGGGCCCGCACAAGCGGAGGAACAUGUGGUUUAAUUCGAUGAUACGCGAGGAACCUUACCCGGGCUUAAAUUGCAGAUGAAUUACGGUGAAAGCCGUAAGCCGCAAGGCAUCUGUGAAGGUGCUGCAUGGUUGUCGUCAGCUCGUGCCGUGAGGUGUCGGCUUAAGUGCCAUAACGAGCGCAACCCUUGUUGUCAGUUACUAACAGGUUCUGCUGAGGACUCUGACAAGACUGCCAUCGUAAGAUGUGAGGAAGGUGGGGAUGACGUCAAAUCAGCACGGCCCUUACGUCCGGGGCUACACACGUGUUACAAUGGGGGGUACAGAGGGCCGCUAUCACGCGAGUGGAUGCCAAUCCCAAAAACCUCUCUCAGUUCGGACUGGAGUCUGCAACCCGACUCCACGAAGCUGGAUUCGCUAGUAAUCGCGCAUCAGCCACGGCGCGGUGAAUACGUUCCC